AGAGAUAUAACUCAGUGGCAGAGUGUCUGCUUAGUAUGCAGGAAGGAGGCCCUGGGUUUAAUACCCAGCACCACAA
RNAcentral lists this transfer RNA (76 nucleotides) under Ictidomys tridecemlineatus (thirteen-lined ground squirrel). Its description in RNAcentral is "Spermophilus tridecemlineatus (thirteen-lined ground squirrel) tRNA". It matches the Rfam family "tRNA". Rfam says of the family: Transfer RNA (tRNA) molecules are approximately 80 nucleotides in length. Their secondary structure includes four short double-helical elements and three loops (D, anti-codon, and T loops). The record is from Rfam by way of RNAcentral. Lineage: Eukaryota; Metazoa; Chordata; Mammalia; Rodentia; Sciuridae.